GACGAACGCUGGCGGCGUGCUUAACACAUGCAAGUCGAACGGAAAGGCCCCCAUCUUGGUGGGGGUGCUCGAGUGGCGAACGGGUGAGUAACACGUGGGUGAUCUGCCCUGUACUUCGGGAUAAGCUUGGGAAACUGGGUCUAAUACCGGAUAGGACCAUGGUUUAGUGUCUCAUGGUGGAAAGAUUAUUGUUUUGGUGCAGGAUGAGCUCGCGGCCUAUCAGCUUGUUGGUGGGGUAAUGGCCUACCAAGGCGUCGACGGGUAGCCGGCCUGAGAGGGUGGACGGCCACAUUGGGACUGAGAUACGGCCCAGACUCCGACGGGAGGCAGCAGUGGGGAAUAUGGCACAAUGGGCGCAAGCCUGAUGCAGCGACGCCGCGUGGGGGAUGACGGCCUUCGGGUUGUAAACUCCUUUCGUUAGGGACGAAGCCGCACUUUUUUGGGGUGUGGUGACGGUACCUUUGUUAAGAAGCACCGGCUAACUACGUG
Molecule: ribosomal RNA, 489 nt
Filed under: uncultured bacterium
Lineage: Bacteria
Description: partial 16S ribosomal RNA
Rfam family: Bacterial small subunit ribosomal RNA
Source: RNAcentral